UCCCUGAUGGCUCAGAUGGUAAAGCAUCUGCCUGCAAUGAGGGAGACCUGGGUUCAAUCCCUGGUUUGGGAA
RNAcentral lists this transfer RNA (72 nucleotides) under Ovis aries (sheep). It matches the Rfam family "tRNA". Rfam says of the family: Transfer RNA (tRNA) molecules are approximately 80 nucleotides in length. Lineage: Eukaryota; Metazoa; Chordata; Mammalia; Artiodactyla; Bovidae. The record is from Rfam by way of RNAcentral.